GAUGAAGAACGCAGCGAAAUGCGAUAAGUAAUGUGAAUUGCAGAAUUCAGUGAAUCAUCGAAUCUUUGAACGCACAUUGCGCCCGCCAGUAUUCUGGCGGGCAUGCCUGUUCGAGCGUCAUUUCAACCAUCAAGCCCCCGGCUUGUGUUGGGGACCUGCGGCUGCCGCAGGCCCUGAAAAGCAGUGGCGGGCUCGCUGUCACACCGAGCGUAGUAGAUUUCAUCUCGCUCAGGGCGUGCUGCGGGUUCCGGCCGUUAAACCACCUUCAUAACCCAAGGUUGACCUCGGAUCAGGUAGGAAGACCCGCUGAACUUAAGCAUAUCAAUAAGCGAAGGA
This 336-nucleotide unclassified non-coding RNA is filed under the name soil metagenome. RNAcentral's name for it is "partial contains 5.8S ribosomal RNA, internal transcribed spacer 2, and large subunit ribosomal RNA". The stretch from base 1 to 120 matches the Rfam family "5.8S ribosomal RNA", at positions 35 to 154 of the family's 154-position model. The record is from RNAcentral.